AUUGAACGCUGGCGGCAUGCCUUACACAUGCAAGUCGAACGGCAGCGGGCCUUCGGGUGCCGGCGAGUGGCGAACGGGUGAGUAAUGCAUCGGAACGUGCCAUUGAGUGGGGGAUAACGUAGCGAAAGUUACGCUAAUACCGCAUAUUCUGUGAGCAGGAAAGCAGGGGACCGCAAGGCCUUGCGCUCUUUGAGCGGCCGAUGUCAGAUUAGCUAGUUGGUGAGGUAAAGGCUUACCAGGCGACGAUCUGUAGCGGGUCUGAGAGGAUGAUCCGCCACACUGGAACUGAGACACGGUCCAGACUCCUACGGGAGGCAGCAGUGGGGAAUUUUGGACAAUGGGCGCAAGCCUGAUCCAGCCAUGCCGCGUGAGUGAAGAAGGCCUCGG
RNAcentral lists this ribosomal RNA (387 nucleotides) under uncultured bacterium. RNAcentral's name for it is "bacterial SSU rRNA". It matches the Rfam family "Bacterial small subunit ribosomal RNA", at positions 30 to 420 of the family's 1533-position model. The record is from RNAcentral.